AGGAGACGCUGGCGGCGUGGAUUAGGCAUGCAAGUCGAACGGUAGGAUACCUUCGGGUAUCUGAGAGUGGCGAACGGGUGAGUAACACGUAGGUGAUCUACCCUCAAGAUUGGGACAACCCAGGGAAACUUGGGCUAAUACCGGAUGAAAGCAGCAGUGAUGUUGUUUGAAAGGUGGCGUAAGCUGCCGUUUGGGGAUGAGCCUGCGCUCUAUUAGUUAGUUGGCGGGGUAAAGGCCCACCAAGGCGAUGAUAGAUAGGCGGCCUUAACGGGUGGUCGCCCACACUGGGAUUGAGAUACGGCCCAGACUCCUACGGGAGGCAGCAGUCGAGAAUAGUCUACAAUGGCCGAAAGGCUGAUAGUGCGACGCCGCGUGAACGAAGAAGCCCUUCGGGGUGUAAAGUUCUUUUAUAUGUGAGCAGUGCUUUCUAUGUGAACAGCAUGGGGAGAGAGAUAUUAGCAUAUGAAUAAGCAACGGCUAACUCCGUG
RNAcentral lists this ribosomal RNA (488 nucleotides) under uncultured bacterium. RNAcentral describes it as "bacterial SSU rRNA". It matches the Rfam family "Bacterial small subunit ribosomal RNA", at positions 33 to 507 of the family's 1533-position model. The record is from RNAcentral.